Molecule: ribosomal RNA, 304 nt
Filed under: Theileria lestoquardi
Lineage: Eukaryota; Apicomplexa; Aconoidasida; Piroplasmida; Theileriidae
Description: SSU rRNA
Rfam family: Eukaryotic small subunit ribosomal RNA
Source: RNAcentral
UUUUUCGGACGGAGUUUCUUUGUCUGAAUGUUUACUUUGAGCAGAUAGGGGUGCUCAAAGCAGGCUUUUGCCUUGAAUAGUUUAGCAUGGAAUAAUAAAGUAGGACUUUGGUUCUAUUUUGUUGGUUUUAGGUACCAAAGUAAUGGUUAAUAGGAACAGUUGGGGGCAUUCGUAUUUAACUGUCAGAGGUGAAAUUCUUAGAUUUGUUAAAGACGAACUACUGCGAAAGCAUUUGCCAAGGAUGUUUUCAUUAAUCAAGAACGAAAGUAAGGGGAUCGAAAAAGAUCAGAUACCGUCCUAGUCC